GUGAGGAAUAUUGGUCAAUGGGCGGGAGCCUGAACCAGCCAAGUCGCGUGAAGGAAGAAGGAUCUAUGGUUCGUAAACUUCUUUUGCAGGGGAAUAAAGUGCAGGACGUGUCCUGUUUUGUAUGUACCCUGAGAAUAAGGAUCGGCUAACUCCGUGCCAGCAGCCGCGGUAAUACGGAGGAUCCGAGCGUUAUCCGGAUUUAUUGGGUUUAAAGGGUGCGUAGGUGGUUUGAUAAGUCAGCGGUGAAAGUUUGCAGCUUAACUGUAAAAAUGCCGUUGAAACUGUCGGACUUGAGUGUAAAUGAGGUAGGCGGAAUGCGUGGUGUAGUGGUGAAAUGCAUAGAUAUCACGCAGAACUCCGAUUGCGAAGGCAGCUUACUAAGCUACAACUGACACUGAAGCACGAAAGCGUGGGGAUCAAACAGGAUUAGAAACCCGGGUAGUCC
RNAcentral lists this ribosomal RNA (445 nucleotides) under uncultured bacterium. Its description in RNAcentral is "partial 16S ribosomal RNA". It matches the Rfam family "Bacterial small subunit ribosomal RNA", at positions 354 to 796 of the family's 1533-position model. The record is from RNAcentral.